This 77-nucleotide transfer RNA is filed under the name Pseudomonadota bacterium. RNAcentral describes it as "Proteobacteria bacterium (freshwater metagenome) tRNA-Val". It matches the Rfam family "tRNA". From Rfam's summary of the family: Transfer RNA (tRNA) molecules are approximately 80 nucleotides in length. Their secondary structure includes four short double-helical elements and three loops (D, anti-codon, and T loops). The record is from RNAcentral. Lineage: Bacteria; Pseudomonadati; Pseudomonadota.
GGGUGAUUAGCUCAGUUGGUUAGAGCGCUACCUUCACACGGUAGAGGUCGGAGGUUCGAGUCCUCUAUCACCCACCA